RNAcentral lists this ribosomal RNA (420 nucleotides) under uncultured bacterium. RNAcentral describes it as "bacterial SSU rRNA". It matches the Rfam family "Bacterial small subunit ribosomal RNA", at positions 356 to 773 of the family's 1533-position model. The record is from RNAcentral.
AAGGAAUAUUGGUCAAUGGACGAAAGUCUGAACCAGCCAUGCCGCGUGGAGGAUGAAGGUCCUCUGGAUUGUAAACUUCUUUUAUAUGGGACGAAAAAAGGCCUUUCUAGGCCGUCUGACGGUACCAUAUGAAUAAGCACCGGCUAACUCCGUGCCAGCAGCCGCGGUAAUACGGAGGGUGCAAGCGUUAUCCGGAUUCACUGGGUUUAAAGGGUGCGUAGGUGGGUUGAUAAGUCAGCGGUGAAAUCUCCGAGCUUAACUUGGAAACUGCCAUUGAUACUAUUAAUCUUGAAUAUUGUGGAGGUUAGCGGAAUAUGUCAUGUAGCGGUGAAAUGCUUAGAUAUGACAUAGAACACCAAUUGCGAAGGCAGCUGGCUACACAUAUAUUGACACUGAGGCACGAAAGCGUGGGGAUCAAAC